UUCCACAGCCAUAUCACCCUGCAGCCCAAGACUGGUUGCCCACUGAAGCUAAACAGGUUUGAGCUUGGUCAGUACCUGGAUGGGAGACCUCCUGGGAAAACUAGGUUGCUGUUGGAA
This 117-nucleotide ribosomal RNA is filed under the name Sinocyclocheilus anshuiensis. The record is from RNAcentral. Lineage: Eukaryota; Metazoa; Chordata; Actinopteri; Cypriniformes; Cyprinidae.